Molecule: long non-coding RNA, 386 nt
Organism: Thunnus maccoyii (southern bluefin tuna)
Lineage: Eukaryota; Metazoa; Chordata; Actinopteri; Scombriformes; Scombridae
Exons: 3
Source: RefSeq, a predicted model, not a curated record
UUGCAACCUUGUCACCAAAAGCUGCAGAUCAAAACCCAAAUGGAUCUGUGUUGGGUGCUAAUAGCAGUGAUUUCACACUGACAAUGAACACUCCAUGGCUACAGCUCAACUCUCUGCUGCUGGACGAGUUCGGUGCAGACUCACCUGCUUCACCUCUUCAUCACUGGUCUGAAUGCAGUGACCUUGUCAUCCUGCACGGUCCCACAGGCUUCGCUGAGGUCAGACGACUGUGUCUCUGCUUUGCCGCCAGAGAAUCCUGCACACCCAGAUAAAAGCAUAUCUAAGACACUUUCCCCAGGUAAAAAAUGACAUACCGUCAAUGGAGGAGUACUGGCAUGUGUCUGGGAGUGCAGCGUAGGACGAACAGUGUAGUUGGAGGCCCUUGU